AACGAACGCUGGCGGCAUGCCUAACACAUGCAAGUCGAACGAGACCUUCGGGUCUAGUGGCGCACGGGUGCGUAACGCGUGGGAACCUGCCCUUAGGUUCGGAAUAACUCCCCGAAAGGGGUGCUAAUACCGGAUAAUGUCUUCGGACCAAAGAUUUAUCGCCUUUGGAUGGGCCCGCGUUGGAUUAGCUAGUUGGUAGGGUAAAAGCCUACCAAGGCGACGAUCCAUAGCUGGUCUGAGAGGAUGAUCAGCCACACUGGGACUGAGACACGGCCCAGACUGCUACGGGAGGCAGCAGUGGGGAAUAUUGGACAAUGGGCGAAAGCCUGAUCCAGCAAUGCCGCGUGAGUGAUGAAGGCCUUAGGGUUGUAAAGCUCUUUUACACGGGAUGAUAAUGACAGUACCGGGAGAAUAAGCUCCGGCUAACUACGUG
RNAcentral lists this ribosomal RNA (433 nucleotides) under uncultured bacterium. Its description in RNAcentral is "partial 16S ribosomal RNA". It matches the Rfam family "Bacterial small subunit ribosomal RNA", at positions 29 to 507 of the family's 1533-position model. The record is from RNAcentral.